RNAcentral lists this ribosomal RNA (778 nucleotides) under uncultured Neocallimastigales. Its description in RNAcentral is "partial large subunit ribosomal RNA". It matches the Rfam family "Eukaryotic large subunit ribosomal RNA", at positions 26 to 644 of the family's 3401-position model. Lineage: Eukaryota; Fungi; Neocallimastigomycota; Neocallimastigomycetes; Neocallimastigales. The record is from RNAcentral.
CGCAUCUGUGCAUGCAGCAUAUCAAUAAGCGGAGGAAAAGAAACUAACAAGGAUUCCCCUAGUAACGGCGAGUGAAGCGGGAAGAGCUCAAAUUUGAAAUCUUAAAGGGUUUCCCUUUACGAAUUGUAGUUUAAAGAAGUGUUUUCCUGUUGAGGUUUUGGUAAAAGUUCUUUGGAAUAGGACAUCAUAGAGGGUGAGAAUCCCGUAUUUGACCUUUCACUUUCAACUUUGUGAUACACAUUUCAAAGAGUCGGAUUGUUUGGGAAUGCAGUCCAAAAUGGGUGGUAAAUUUCAUCUAAAGCUAAAUAUUGGCGAGAGACCGAUAGCGAACAAGUACCGUGAGGGAAAGAUGAAAAGAACUUUGAAAAGAGAGUUAAACAGUACGUGAAAUUGUCAAAAGGGAAGCGUUUGACAUCCAGUGUUGCUUUUCUGAAAAUCAAUUAAAGAACUGUUUAUGCUAAGCUGUUUAGACUUUAUCAGCUAUCUGUUUAGUUUUGAGCUUUUCUUUAAUGCACUUUUCAGUUAACAAGUCAACAUCAAUUUCUUUUGCUGUAAAAAAGCUUGAGGAAGGUGGCUUGAGAUUCGUCUUAAGUGUUUAUAGCCUCUUGCCUAUGCAGUCGGAGAGAUUGAGGUCUGCAGCGUAGAUCCUUCGGGGCUAAAUGCAUUUGUGCUAAGUUAUAGCAUUUUAUAGACAACUUGUUGACUAUGAUUUGUCUUGUAGCUUACUCGCUUAUGUUAUUUUACCUACGCUUAGGAUGUUGAAUCUGUGCGAGACUAC